CGGACCCAGAGGUCAACUUAAGCAAUUGUCCUUGCCCUCUUGCUGUAGGGACCAAUCGGAAAGCGGAAUCUGAGCCAGUCUGGGAAAGGACGAUUCUCAGUGGGCGUGGGUUAUGUUGCGUCAUUCAUGGUUUAGCCAAUCAUAUAACUUCUCCAGUCGUGGUUUCCUGCGUUUGUAGAUGGAAGGAAGAACUUGUGUGCUUAGACCUGACGCUGGGAGGAGAUGCUGCCACCUAGGUUACUUGUAGGACCCUAUACGGCAACCUCCUUUGCCAGGAACUAUUUAUAAACAUCCUGCAGGAAAAUGAGUCAAGGAAGCUUUUCUUUUGAGCUAUUUACAGCUUUUAGCAAUUGAGUAAAGUAUACUCCUGUGAACAAAAUUUGGAACAUAUUUGUUUCUCUCUAACUGAUUUCUCCAGAAUUUGGAACUAGUUAACCAGGAACCCUCUCUUGGGGUGUGGAUCGAGACCCCUUUCUGGUAACGAGAGCACAGCUUGGUUUUAUACAUUUUAAGGAGACAUGAGACAUCAAUCAACGUAUAUAAGAUGAACAUUUUGAUCUGAAAAGGCCUCUUUAAAUAUACACUUCUCUGUAGUGUAUGCUAGAAAUGGAGUGGCUGGAAUAAAAGUGGCUGAAUCAUCUUCAACUCUAGUAGCUGAGACCAAUGAUGCUGACCUCCCUCAAAAGCUGCAUUUCUGAAUUUCUGAAGGCAAACUGUCUGCCUAUAUUGUACAGCAAAAUAAUUUCCUGUAUUAAAACGUUUUUAUUGCUCUAAAUUUCUAGAUUAAACUCUGCUUAGGUAUUGCUAAGAGGGUAGCCAAGUAUAGAAACUUAAAUUUACUGACAGAAAUCUAGAGAAUGCUUAAUUUUUUUUCCAGCAGUGAAGUAGAAGAGACAGGGAUAUCCCAGAAGGUUAUGCAAAACAUCAAGAGAAGAUGAGAGGAGUCUAUAUGUCAGAAUACACAUUUCCCACCUUGCCCAACAGUAGAAAAACAUAAGAAGAGAAAAACAUUAAAAAAUGACAAGGAAGUUAAUGGAAGUCAGCAAUGUGAUGGUGUUUGGAGGUGGAGCCUUCAGAAGGUAAUUAAUGCCCUUGUAAGAAGAGGCCAGAGAGCUUGCGCACCUUCUUCCUGCCAUGUGAGGAGCCAAGAAGCCGGCUGUCUGCAACCUGCAAGAGGACCCUCACUAGAAGCUAGCCAUACUGGCAUCCUCAUCUUGGCUUUCCAACUUCCAGAACUGUGAGAAGUAUAUGUUUGUGGUUUAGUCAAUGGUCUAUGGUAAUUUUUUUAUAGCAGUCCCAGCCAAGACAGUGCCUCAUUUACUACAUACCAUUUAUAUUAUUAUAUAGGCUCCUUUCAGAAACCCAUGUUCAAAUAAGAGAUAAGAUACUGAAACACAUAACACCUUCACUAGUUUUUAGUAUACAAAUAUUGAGAAAUAGUUUGUUAUUAACUAUCUCAUCCAAGAAAUGCAGAUUCAUGUUGUUUCUAAUUUUUUAUAUAUAAUUGACAAAAUGAAGAAACUUAACACCAUCCUAGAUUUUAGCUGCCCAAAGAAUGAAAAGAAUGAAAAAAAAAUCUUUGAAAACCCACAAGUGAUAUGGAUCUAAUUUAUGGUUAAAUAGAUAUAGAUAACAAACAGAAUACGCCUGUUUAAAACUGUUAAAAUGACAUUGGUUCUAAUUAUACUUUUAUUUAAAUUGAAAGACAAGGCAUUUAUAUGGUAUCUCUAACCAUCACAACUUUUGUGUGACAAAAAGAAAUUAUCACCAAAAUACACCUCCUUAAGUAAGUGUCUGAUUUCACACUUCCAGAAAAAGUGCUCUUUCUGGUCAAGCCAGCAAGAAUUGAGAAAGAUUAAGAAAGUGCUUCAAAGAUGUUUAUUAAAAAGUUGUCAUAAAAAUGUGAAGUAGAUGUAGCAUCAAGCAUACCAAAUAAAGUAAAACUGUCAUCAAGAAGAUUCAACAGCUAUGAAAAGAGUUCUUCAAAAUAUGAUAUGUUUUUCUAGAUGAUAAUAAAAUUUAUCAAUUCCAAAUGUCCACAUUAGUCUUUCAUAAAGACACCAAUGAGUCACAGGAAAAAAAAUUAAAAAUAAAAAAACCCUAUCUCAGGGAAUCAUGCUAACAACCUGAUGUGUUUUCUUCCACAUAUUUAUGUCUGCUUAUAAGUAUUUACAAACAUAUAUUCGCAUAUAUGCAUUUUGAAUUUUUUCUGUUGCUGCACUUAAAUUUUUUUCAUAAUAAAACAAGACUCCUGCAAUUUGCUUUUUUAGGUAGACUAUGUAUCCCUGACAACCAUCCAGGUCAGCUUGAUGAUUAACACAUUUGUUUUAAUAGCUACAUAGUAUUCUAUAAGUAUGAUUUAUUCAAGUGUGUGUGUGUGUGUGUGAGAGAGAGAGAGAGAGAGAGACAGAGACAGAAAAAGAGAGACAGAGGAGGAUAUUCAGGGGUUCUGUCCACUACAACAUUUUGUCACAGGCAACAGUGCUGAAAUGAAAACACUUGAACACAUAUUUUUAUGAUUUUACUUUUUAUGAUUUUCAAAAGUGUGUUUGCAAGGUCAAAGAAUAGAUGUGUUGCUCUUAAUAAAUAUCAAAAGAUUAUUUACUACUACCCAAAUUAUACUGUAAUUUCUUCUUGAACCGUUUAAUUUGUAUCCUCCUAUCAGUGAGGUUGAGAAAUAUUUUAUGCUUACUGACUUUUGCAAUAUUUCUUUCACGAAUUAUUGCCAUUUUCUAUUGUCCAUUUUUCUGUUAGGCUCUAUGAUUAGCUUAUUAGGCUUUGUGGUUUAUAUGCAUCAGAAAGAGUAAGACUUAAUUUUGUGUGGAACAAAUACCCUGGUGUAGCAUGUUUCAUUAGAAUUUGUUUAUAGAGAUAUUUGCCAUAGAAAAGUUAUUUUUUAUUAGUAAAGAAUGCUUUGUAUUUCCUUUGUGGCUUCUAAGUACCCUUUUUUGGUUAUUAUACCUUUAUCCAUAAGUAUCUUUAAAUAUUACAAAAAUUACAUAUUCUUUUAAAUAUUUUAAAGAUUUAUUAUAUUCAUUUAGGUUUUAAUCCACUUUUAAUUUUUUAGAUGAAAAGUAAGAGAAAAGUAUAUAAAUCAUGAGCACAAAUUGAACUAACCAAGGUAACAAUCAAUCUGCUCAAGAAAUUGAGCAUCACCACCACCUCCUCCUGCACUGUCCAAAUCAGCACCCCAGUACUCCAAAGCAAAUGUUACUCACUACACUGACUUCUAACACAAUAGACUUGUUUUGUCUGUUUUCAACUAUACAAAAAUGAAUCAUAGAGUAUGUGUUGUUUUGUAUUUGGCUCCUUUCACUAAAAUUUUGGUUUAUAAAAUUCAUCCAUGUGGUUGAACACAGUUGUAGAUUGUUCAUUUUAAUUGUUUUACAGUAUUUAUUGUGUGACUAAAACACUACUUAUUUAUUCUAUAAUUGACAGACUUUGGGUUGCUUUUGCUUUGGGAGUAUAAACAUUUUUAUAUCUAUGCUUUAGGUACAUGUUCAUGAAUUUGUGCUGAAUAAUUACUUGAGUGUGAAAUUGUUAUGUUAUGCGAUAUAUAGUAGUCAAAUAUAGAAGAUAAUGCAAAACAAUUUAAAGUGAUUGUAGCAGUUUGCUGUAUUCUACAGCAGCAGAUUGUAGCAGAUUACUGUAUUCUACAGCAGCAGCAUGUGAGAUUGCCAGUUGCUCAAAUUCGUGCCAAUACUUGGUAUUUUUUAUCUUUUAAUUUUAGACAUUCUGGAGAGUGUGUAGUAAUUUUUCAUCUUGGAAAAUUACAUUAAAUUAGUAUCCAUUUCUCUAAUUUUGAUAACAUUUUCAUAAGUUUAUUGUUAUUAGAUAUUUUCUUUAUUUUGAAGUGCUUAUUGUCCAUUUUACAUUGGGUCAUCUGUUAUUGAAUUGUAAACAUUCCUUGAAUAUUUAAAUAUGAGUGCUUGGUCAGUUUUUGUCACAAAUAUCCUCUUUUUUCACUUUUUGCCCUUUUAUUAUUCUGAAAAUGCCAAUUGAUUAAAAUUAAUUUUACUAUUGUUCAAUAUAUCAUGCUUUGUUUUUUCACAGUGUGUUUUGUGUCCUGUUUAAGAAUUCCUUCUCUCAUUUGGCAUUCAUUUGGCAUUCAUUUGGCUUGGCAAAAUUGGCG
RNAcentral lists this long non-coding RNA (4132 nucleotides) under Homo sapiens (human). RNAcentral's name for it is "HSALNT0087371". Lineage: Eukaryota; Metazoa; Chordata; Mammalia; Primates; Hominidae. The record is from RNAcentral.